Molecule: unclassified non-coding RNA, 247 nt
Filed under: Hevea brasiliensis (rubber tree)
Lineage: Eukaryota; Viridiplantae; Streptophyta; Magnoliopsida; Malpighiales; Euphorbiaceae
Source: RNAcentral
AAGAAAUCGCAGAGGCAAACUUGAUUUCACAGACAGAUAAUUUCCUCAACCAAGUAGUUCUCCGUAGCUGGAAAGAUUCGAUAAAGGCACUGCAGACAUGUGACGAUCUUCUCCCAUAUGCGGAAGAUCUACAAAUUGUGAAGAGAUGCAUUGAGUCAUUAGCUGUGAAGGCAUCAACCGACCCAAAUCUAUUCGGGUGGCCCAUUAUAGAGCAUGGAGCCAUGCAAAGCCCUGGCGGGAGUGUUUU